This 483-nucleotide ribosomal RNA is filed under the name uncultured bacterium. RNAcentral's name for it is "bacterial SSU rRNA". It matches the Rfam family "Bacterial small subunit ribosomal RNA", at positions 30 to 505 of the family's 1533-position model. The record is from RNAcentral.
AUUGAACGCUGGCGGCAGGCCUAACACAUGCAAGUCGAGCGGAUGAGUGGAGCUUGCUCCAUGAUUCAGCGGCGGACGGGUGAGUAAUGCCUAGGAAUCUGCCUGGUAGUGGGGGACAACGUUUCGAAAGGAACGCUAAUACCGCAUACGUCCUACGGGAGAAAGUGGGGGAUCUUCGGACCUCACGCUAUCAGAUGAGCCUAGGUCGGAUUAGCUAGUUGGUGAGGUAAAGGCUCACCAAGGCGACGAUCCGUAACUGGUCUGAGAGGAUGAUCAGUCACACUGGAACUGAGACACGGUCCAGACCCCUACGGGAGGCAGCAGUGGGGAAUAUUGGACAAUGGGCGAAAGCCUGAUCCAGCCAUGCCGCGUGUGUGAAGAAGGUCUUCGGAUUGUAAAGCACUUUAAGUUGGGAGGAAGGGCGAGUAAGUUAAUACCUUGCUGUUUUGACGUUACCAACAGAAUAAGCACCGGCUAACUUCG